UCGAACGGUGUCUUCGGACACAGUGGCGGACGGGUGAGUAACGCGUGAGAAUCUACCUUCAGGUCGGGGAUAACCCCUGGAAACGGGGGCUAAUACCGGAUAGGUCGAAAGAUGAAAGGUUAACUGCCUGAAGAGGGGCUCGCGUCUGAUUAGCUAGUAGGUGUGGUAAGAGCGCACCUAGGCGACGAUCAGUAGCUGGUCUGAGAGGAUGAGCAGCCACACUGGGACUGAGACACGGCCCAGACUCCUACGGGAGGCAGCAGUGGGGAAUUUUCCGCAAUGGGCGAAAGCCUGACGGAGCAAGACCGCGUGGGGGAGGAAGGCCUUUGGGUUGUAAACCCCUUUUGUUAGGGAAGAAAAAAAUGACGGUACCUAACGAAUCAGCCUCGGCUAACUCCGUGCCAGCAGCCGCGGUAAUACGGAGGAGGCAAGCGUUAUCCGGAAUUAUUGGGCGUAAAGCGUCCGUAGGUGGCCCGGCAAGUCUGCUGUCAAAGACCACAGCUCAACUGUGGAAAGGCAGUGGAAACUGCAAGGCUAGAGUGCGGUAGGGGUAGAGGGAAUUCCCAGUGUAGCGGUGAAAUGCGUAGAGAUUGGGAAGAACACCGGUGGCGAAAGCGCUCUACUGGGCCGCAACUGACACUGAUGGACGAAAGCUAGGGGGGGAUUAGAUACCCCAGUAGUCCUAGCUGUAAACGAUGGAAACUAGGUGUAGCACGUAUCGACCCGUGCUGUAUCGGAGCUAACGCGUUAAGUU
RNAcentral lists this ribosomal RNA (754 nucleotides) under Kamptonema animale M8. RNAcentral's name for it is "bacterial SSU rRNA". It matches the Rfam family "Bacterial small subunit ribosomal RNA", at positions 62 to 866 of the family's 1533-position model. The record is from RNAcentral. Lineage: Bacteria; Bacillati; Cyanobacteriota; Cyanophyceae; Oscillatoriales; Microcoleaceae.